RNAcentral lists this long non-coding RNA (10074 nucleotides) under Nicotiana tabacum (common tobacco). RNAcentral describes it as "long non-coding RNA (NTAB_LNC002140)". The record is from RNAcentral. Lineage: Eukaryota; Viridiplantae; Streptophyta; Magnoliopsida; Solanales; Solanaceae.
UAGAUUCCAAAGCAUACCAACACCAUGCUUAUUGAUUUAUCUUUAUAAAUAAAAAAAACUAAAAGAAACACCCAACUAGAUUAAAGUAUUCAUCAAAGAAAGACAAAGUAAAGUAAUAAAUUAGUCAUGGAUCAACCUUAAGUAAAGAGGCUAAAAUAAAAUAAUAAUAAUAAAGCAUAAGAUAGAUUGGAUCCCGAAGAGUAGCGACAAGAAACAUACCUUUUUAAAAAGAAACAAAAGUCUGGAAAUAAGACCAGCAACACGUUAACCAUACUAAACGGGAACCUCACCGGAACUUUAGAUGGAUCUCUCACAUGGAAGUUCGUCUAUCUCGAUCUAUCUUCCAUGACAUUACAGGGCUGAAACGGAGCUUCGUCGGAGGAAAAAAAAUGGAGAAAUUGAUGACUGUUCGGGUCUUUUUUUUAAAGCUGGUUUUAAUGGAAUUUCAAAUUGGUUUAAGGUGAUAUAUGUGAAGUGAUAUGGGUUGAAGACUCUUUCGUUUCUUUUUAUUUUCCCACCCCCAAUUUUUGUGCAAAGAAUCCCUUGUAUGUUCUGUGCGUGUAUUUGGAGUUGGUGAAAUUAGACCGUGAAGGUCUUUGAUUUGGGGGAAGUUGGGAGACGGCAGUCUUCGAGAUUAGGAGUGUUGCCGUUCUUUUUUUAGUCUUAGGUUUUGAAAACUUGGGUAUUUUAUAUGUAGAUGGGAAGGGAUGAUGACCAUUGGAUUAGAAGGAAAUAGAUGGCUAGGAUUAAAUCUUGCAUAUAAAUGGGCUAAUGAGUUGGGAAGAAUGGGCUAAGGGUAAUUGGGUUAGACCCUAUCUUUUGGUUGAACUUAGGCUAAAAAGACCAAAUAAUACAAUGUAUCUAUAAAAAUGUAAAAAUCACUCUAAAUUAAAAUAAACUAAUAUGAAACUAAAUACUACGAGUGGAACUAAUUUUUUUGUAUUUUCAAAUGUUAUAAUACUAUAAAUAUAAAUAUACUAAUUGACUUUAACCUAAAGAUGAAAAUAUUUAUUUUAUUUUUUUGUAAUUUUUAUUUUUUGUGAUAAACUAUAGUAAAAGAGUCAAAACUAUUUAAAAUAACGAUAUUAAACCUAAACUAAAUAUUUUACGCUAAAAAUGUGUAAAAUCUUGGGGAGGGUAAAAAAUCACAUGCCUACAGUUGCCCCUCUUUAACUGGAAACACGAAGAGUUUUCAGACAAAGAACGACGAGACAGGUAUUUUGACCUGACCCAUAUUUGGAGAGACCAAAAACUAAAAGAAAGGAGAAUGUAACCGAGCCCUGGUAUCUGAGCUGCCUACAUAUCCUUGGGUAUAAAGGAAUCAGGCCACGUGUAGUUCAGAAGUGAAUGAGGUGAUAGAGUACCAAGGUGGUGAGCCGAUUGAGGUGACGUUCCGUCGAGGUUCCUGUCCGCGGUCCUAUUAUUACAUCAAAAUCAAAAUAUGAAAUAGACUAACUAAACCUAUCAGCUAUGAGUUAGAAGAUUCCUAUCUAUGAGUCUUCUGAAGCUUGAUCUUGAGUCUUGGUUGGUUCUUCAUGCGGACUUUGAUCUGAAUCUUGAUGCUUGUUAGCUGCAGGUAUUGGUUCAACCUUCUUCAGCUUUUUUAGAUCAAGACGGGACAUGCAGAGCUUGUGACUUCAAUUAUGUCUUGAGCAGACCAUAUCUUUUCUCCACUUCUGCACUUUGGAUUCACUUUUUUUCUCUUUUAUUCUUGAUUGAGACUUCUUUUUUUUGUUAUCUCGGACCCAUGUCGACCCGCAUUUUUAGGCGAGCUUCUGCUACUUCUAACUUGAAUUGGAUUCUGAAAUGACUUCCCUCGUUCUCCAGGUGGGCGCCUGAUUGCUAAAACUUGAACUGACUUCCUUUGAAACUUGAACUGCUUUCCCUGAAACUUGAACUGUUCUCCCUUGAAACUUGAACUGUCUUCCUUCGAAAUUGCUUUUCCUUGAAAUUUGAACUGUUUUGCCUUAUUCUCUAGGUGAGCGCCUGAUACUACAGCAAAACAGACAACAAAAGAAACUUUUCUGCCCCAGUUUGCACUAGGAAUAUUUGUGAGUUGUUAGCAGAACUAUAGAUCACCUACGCUGCUGAUGAAGGAUGCAAUGAUGAAAGUAAAAUUAAUGACUCGACAAGGAUGUGUGUCUCCUAAAUGUGAUUGAACCUGUGGAAAACUAUAAACUAAGCUUGACUAAAGUAAAGACUGGCCCUAUUUUCUAGGCGGGGCCCCUGAUUUCAAGAAAACUAAACAUUGAUAACUUAAGAAAACUAAAAAUUGACCCUUUUUUUUGAAUUAUUCAAAUUCAGACUUCCCUUUUUUUGAAUUAUUAUCGUAGGAGAAAAUUCAUCGGACUAGGUUUUCUAUCUUAGGAGAAAUAUUCAUCAAACUAAGAUUUCUAUCCCAGGAGAAAGUUCAUCGGACUAGGUCUUCUAUCUUGGGAGAAAAAUUCAUCAAACUAAGAUUGCGAUCCCAGGAGAAGAUUCGUCAGACUAGAUUCCCUUUUUUGUUAUCUUAGGAGAAAGAUUCAUCAGACUAAGAUUUUUAUCCUAGGAGAAAAUUCAUCAGACUAGGUUUUCUAUCCUAGGAGAAAGAUUAUUAGACUAAGAUUUUGAUCCUAGGAGAAAGUUCAUCAGACUAAGAUUUUGAUCCUAGGAGAAAGUUCAUCAGACUAGGUCUUUUUUUUGUAUCUUAGGAGAAAAUUCGUUAGACUAAGAUUUUUAUCCUAUGAGAAAAUUCAUCAGACUAGGUUUUCUAUCUUAGGAGAAAGAUUCAUCAGACUAAAAUUUCGAUCCUAGGAGAAAAGUUCAUCAGACUAGGUCUUCUAUCGUAGGAGAAAAAUUCAUCAGACUAAGAUUGCGAUACUAGGAGAAGAUUCGUCAGACUAGGGUCCCUUUUUUGUUAUCUUAGGAGAAAGAUUUAUCAAACUAAGAUUUUUAUCCUAGGAGAAAAUUCAUCAAACUAGGUUUUCUAUCUUAGGAGAAAGAUUCAUCAGACUAGGAUAUUUAUUGGGAGAAAAAUCCAUCAGACUAGGACUUUUUAUCCUAGGAGGAAAAAAAUGUGAAGAUCAAUGGUAAGAUUUUAUGCACAAUAGCAAGACAAAUAAAGGCAAAGAUUUGAGAAAUUUCCCUUUGUCGGCUCUUCUCUUGAUUUCGUUUUUUGAUUUUUCAUCCUCUUUCCUUUUGGAAUCACUUUCUUUGCACUGCUUUGUUCCUAUUUCACACAGAAAAAUUUGUCAGUUUUGAAAAUGGUGGUCGGUUUGUGGCCUUGAGUCCUGGGCAGCUUGCCAUUUGCUUAAUCAGCUUGAGUCGGUUUCAAGAGACCUUUGCUCUACAUCAACCUUGAUUGUUUCGCUCCCAGUGCCAUUUGUAUUUGUAGCUCAAACAGCCUUAUCCCAACUUGAGAUCUUUGCUUAGAUGAUAUUUUCUGAUAUCUUGAAUGACUUCCUCUUUUUGAGAAAUUUGCUGUCAGAGAGGAUCACAAGUUAUCUUUGCUUGCGCCAAAUAGGGUGACAAGAGUCUUGGGGGGAGCUUUUGCAUGAAUCCUCAAGGCAUGUUGACUGUGACAACUGAGUGUGCUGGCCAAAUUUACUUUAUGUAACUGAAAAGCUAGCAGCAGAUUUUGAAAUCUCUUUUUGCUUGUUUUGACAAGGGGUGACUCUGAGUGAAGGACAGAAUGAUGCAAGGAGACAAUUAUUAACAAGAAAUGCCCCUCUCGGAAGGACAGAAUGAAGAUUUUUUUUUCUUUUCAUUUUUUUCGAAUAACUAGCCUUAAUGGUCAUGACAUGCAUUUUGGACUCAACGGCAUGAUCUAUCAAACUAAUCCAAUAUUCCCUUUUGCCAUUCUUAUGAGCUUUGAAUUUGGGCUUGUUCGUGCCAAUUCUUUGCAUCAGCUUCGUGACUCACUUUCGACUAGUGGUGCCCCCGAGGGGAUUUUCACCUACAAGUCUCUCUCAUUUAUUUAUCUCUACUUAUUGUCGCCUUACAGNNNNNNNNNNNNNNNNNNNNNNNNNGGAAGGUUUUUGGAUAAGGUUGGAAAGAAAGGACUGCAUGAAGGCUCAAAGUAGACUCGAACUGAGGGAUUGCAGACUUACAACUAUUGGAAUCGACUAUUUCAAAAGCGAAAUAAAAUCUUUACCCCAGUUUCAGAUACUGGGAAUUUUCUUGGAUUUUUCUAUUUUUUCUUUUUCUUUUUCGUCUAAACUCUUAUUUGGUUGGACCGAACCGUGAGGCUGUCUACGUAUUUUUUUUAAGGAAUCAGGUUGAACGUAGUUCAAACAUCUGACCUAACUAAUUUUUUCAUUUUUCUUUAUGUUUUUUCUUUUCUUUUUUUUUCUAUAUUUUUUUGUUUUCAAAAAAGUUGCUCCAGCUUCUAUUUUUUAGGACAUGGACCUUUGACAACUCUUUUCUUCUUCAUUUCUUUUCACAUGAACUUUCUAAGAAUUGCCCCGGUUUGUACUCUUAGGACAUGGACUUUUCUUUUUUUUCUUUUUUCUUUUUUUGACUCUUGACUAUAUACUUGAUUCUAAAAGAGGGUGGUCAAAGAAAAUAACACAGUCUCAAAAGGGGUAACAAAGAGUAUAAAGUAUUUGAAUAGCAGAAAAAGGGCCUCCCAGCCUCGAGAACGCCAAUUAUUGUAUCUUUUGACAAUCACAGCAUUGACAAACAUGUUUGUAUUCUUGGUUUGUCAUGGUCACAAGACACUUUCCAUCCCUUAAUGUCAAACUUUCGACCAAGCUUCAAUUGAUUCAAUAUCCUCAAGCCCGAUCUUCACAAUGAUUUGACGGUGAAUUUUACUCGACCUUAAUUCCAAAGUAUUUCAACUCUUUAUUCAUCCUCAAAAGUGUCUUGUUCUCAAUCAUCCAAUUCAAGCUUAAAUCAAUUUUCUAAAAUCUGGCCAAAAAGUCUGCAUGCAUGUCAUAUCACUAAAAUUAGCGGGAAAGAAACUAAGCACAGAAUGAUACGAAAGGACAAACUGUAUUUUAUUGAAUAAGGAUGGAAGGGUUUGACAACUAAACAAGCAACCUAAAAUCGAGUUACAACUCGAAAAUAACCCUGAUAAUUAAAAUAGCAACAAAACAGACAGACAUGACUCAUACAAACAGGAUAGAGAGAUAGAAGGGUUUGACUCAAUAAAACAAAUAAAAUCUAGAUCACAAUCCUGAAAUAAUCCAGAUAAUAGAAAAAACAUCAAAACAAGCUACCAAGAUUCCUCCCUAGUGAGGAGAGAAUGACUUUUCAACUUCUAAGCUUGACAUUUAGCCACAAAUUUGCUCAUCAGAAUCACCAUGGCCUUUUCCAAUUUCAGUCGGCAAAUUCCCGAAAGAAUUCUCAUACUCCAUGUCGCCACGCCUCACCCCUACAAAGUGUGCAUCAUCAUGUGCUGGUAAAGUACUCUGCGCGAUACUCUGGUUGUCACUGUCUUGGUUCACAAUCAGUUUUUCCUGGAUCAUCCUUUCUAUUUCUCUUUUCAAAUCCCGACAUCUUUUAACAUUGUGCCCCUAAGCAUUGGAAUGGUAUUCACACCUUUUAGAAGGGUCAAAGCUUCUUGCACGUUGGUUCACAUGAUUUGGAGGAACGGGUGCAAUCAUGUCAUAAUGCUUUAACUCCUCAGAUAAAGCUUGCAUAGGACUCUCCUAUUGGUGUAAAAUUAUCUUUCAACCUUUGUUCUCCUUUUUACCUUUGGCUUGGAUGUGGGUUAUAGGGUACCUGAAAAUUUUGUAGAGGCUGGUGGAGAUUUUGUGAUGCUUGUGACCGCCUACUAGGGUAUUUUGGUGGCUGGACAAUAUACUGAGGUAGAGCGAUAGAGUAUUGUGGGUUCUGAGGGGGAUAGUAAUGCUCAAGGGAGUUAUCGAAAAAUAGAUGAGGCUGGUCAUACCUUCGAGAUGCUCUCCUAGGACCUCUUCUCGACCCUGAUGUCAUCAUGAUUUCUUCGUCCUUCUCAUUUGUGUCACUAAAAUUAUCAUAUUCAAUUUGGUCAUCCUGAGUUGCGGCUUUGAUAAGUGCUUGACUUAUAAUUCCACCUAUCUUAAGACCAUUCUCAACCAUUUUCCCCAUUUUGAUUGCCUCCGAGAAGGAUUUACCCACUGCGGAUAUCAUGUUUUGAAAAUAAUCUGGCUCUUGAGCCUGAAGAAAAACAGUGAUUAGCUCAUGGUCAUCCAUGGGUGGCUUAACUCUAGCUGCUUGCUCUCUCCAUUUAAUGGCAUAUUCCCUGAAACAUUCAGUUGGUUUCUUCUUCAGGUUUGAAAGGGAAUUGCAGUUUGGGGCGAUGUUGAUGUUGUAUUGGAACUGUUUGACAAAUGCCUGUGCCAUGUCAUCCCAGACAUACCAGCAAGAUGUGUCUUGAUCCAUAAACCAUUCGGAUGCUACUCCCGUAAGGCUUUCUUCAAAAUAAGCUAUUAGCAAUUAUUCAUUUUUUCCUACACCCCUUAGUUGAUUGCAAUACCUUUUUAGGUGGGCUGUGGGGUCUCCAUGUCCAUCAUACUUUUCAAAUUUAGGAGUCUUGAAACUAUGCGGUAAAUGGACAUCGGGGAACAUACAUAGAUCCUUGAAGGCAAUACUCUUCUAACCUGCCAAACCUUGCAUGUUUUUCAAUCAUUGUUAUAAGCUUUUCACUCUUUGGGUCAUUUCUUCAUGUGCCAUCUUUCGGGCAGGCUUCUCAAUGUUUGCAGGAAGAUCAAACAAGUACGAGUGGUACUCAGGAGAGUGGUACUGCUUUUGUUGGGUAGCAAAUUGUGACUCAUGACAAGGCUGUCCUUGGCUAUUGCCCCAUGCUUAACACAUUUUGGCCAUUUGCUGUUUCAGUAUUCUAUUUUCCUCAAACACAGUAGACUCUUGUCGAACCCUCUGACCCUGAGUCUCUUGAGCACUUGUAACAGCUUCGAUGUCAGUUAUCAUUUUUCUUUGGAUCUUGUGUUGUCCGCUUACCACAAACCGACCACCUCAACUUUCUUUACAAUUCAAAACAAGACAUGUUAGAAUGGACUCAGUCAGUCCUUAUUAUUAUCAUCAUUUUUUCACUUUUUUCAUAUUUUUUCAUUUUUUUUCUUUUCUUUUCAAUGGUUGAUAGAACCUGAUGUGGGUUGCCUACGUAUCAUGUGGGAACAUGAAUCAGAUCUUGUGUAGUUCGGGAAGAUCAGAAAUAACGUAAAUAAACUAACUCUUUUUUUUUAAUUUUGGAACUUUUUAAUUUCCGCAAGAAAGACUUAUAAAGAAAAAACAAAAUAUUUUUUGAUUUCAAUUUUUUUUUGGGACUUUCGAAAGAAAUACUUCUAAAGAAGAAAUAAUUUCUUUUUGAAUUUCGACUUCUUUUUUUUGUUGGAAUUUUGAAUGAAAAAUUUUCUAAAGAAGAAAGGAAAUAUUUUUUAGAUUUUUUGACUCAUAUUUGAAUUUAUGAAAGAAAUGAUUCUAAAGAAAAAAGAAAAUAUUUUUGAAUUUUCUUUUUAAUUUUCGAAAGGAAAACUUUUGAAGAAGAAUGAAAAUAUUUCUGGAUUUUUAGAAGAAAUUAAAAGAAAAUAUUUUUGGAUUUUUUUUAAAAAAAUUGGGGUCUCAAAGAAAGAUUUUUCUAAAGAAGGAAGUAAAGGAAAAUAUUCUUGGAUUUUUUGAAAAUUGGGGCCGAAAUCGAUGAGGUUUGCCUACGUAUCUCACAUCCGGUGAGAAUCAGACCCGCGUAGUUCGCCCAGUUUUGACGGAACAGAAAUUGACUUAUUUUGAAAUGACUUUUCCUCUUUUUCUCAAAAUUUUGGUAGAGUUUCAGGAUAAUUCAAAUACCUACUUCUCACUCUCUUUUCUUUUUCUUUUUCUUUUUUUUUCUGUUUUUAUUUUUUUGGAUUUUCUCCUUUUUUUUCAUUUUCUUUCCCUAUUCUAGGAGCCAGUCAACAUGCAAGCCGAAACAGACAGAUACACAAAUAUCACGUAAGAUGCAUCAGGAUGGUCUUUUAAUUUGGGUACACCUGUCCUAGAUGUACCCAACCCCUAUGUGGAGUCCCCAAAGUCAAAUGCACAUAAUGCAAACAAGCGUUCCUACUAGGGAUCUGGCAUGAGGCUAUGUUAUUCUAGGUUUAAAACCUGGGUGUAUUGUUCUAGACCUGGCUUACCCGAGCGGACAGCUCGAGCCGGGGGGGGGGGAGGGCGAGCGUACCGGGAANNNNNNNNNNNNNNNNNNNNNNNNNCAGAAAAGAAGUCACACGAAGUGCACACUUCCCAGAUGAUUUAGAAGACUCAGAGAGAAGAAGGGUUUCAAAACAAUUUAUAUCCAGGUCAAGCAAAAUCAAAGCGAUAAAAAUCGGCAUUUAACACAUUAGGCUCAAACAUGUAAAAAUCAGAUAACAAAUAAAAUCCAAUCGUAACAGCUAUUCUAAGCUCGAAUUCUGAAACCUGAACCAGAGAUUCUGGGUUCUUUUCCCCAGCAGAGUCGCCAGAACUAUCACACCUCCUUUUUACCACCCGAGGGCGGAUAUAAGGGAGUUUUUCUAAUUUAAGUGACAUUAUUCGAUAUGAGAUUAUUUAAUUUAAUUUUUUGAGAGUCACCACUUGGGAUAUUUAUUAUGGUGUCCCAAGUCACUGGUUUAUUUUAAAUCCAAAAUCUAGAAAAUUUCGACUUUAUUUAAAAGUCCGCGAAACCAGAAAUUCUAGAUAAGGAAUUUUGUUAACCCGGGAGAAGGUGUUAGGCAUUUUCGGGUUUCGCGGUUCGAGCAUGGUCGCUUAAACUAUUAAUAAUUGGCCUAUUAUCUGAUUUACUUUAUAUUUUAAUUCUAUUGUGCAUUUUUAGCUUUAUAACCGCUUUAUAAUUAUUUUAACUACUUUUAGGAUUUAUGGAAUUAUUUCUUGAACAGGUUACGAUUGUCGUAUACUUGCCGUUUUGGAACACACCGCAAACCACGCUACAUGAAAUGCACCCACGAUUUGCAACAUGUUUAUUUUAAUUAUUGUUCGUAGUUGUAGUCGGGUCACUUGAAAUGCACACCCGAAUUGGGAUUUAUGUAUCGUGACCAUGCCGCGGGAACCGUACCCAUAGUGAUGAUGAUUUAUUAAUCGCUCCUAAAGCUAACUACGAUAUUUGAUUUGUUUCCUAAUCUAAUUUAAGAUUAUUGUAAGGCCAUAAGCUAUGGAAUUUAUUGUGGAAGGAAUAAAUUAAAUUAUUUAUGGAAAGAUGUCCGAGCUUAUAGCCUUAUUGGCAAUUUUGGCCAUGUAUUCAAACUAGAAACUAUAGUAGUACCUCAUUCACCAAUUAAACUCCAAACCCAUAUUUUGCGCAUCAAAGAUUAUUCCAAAAAAAGGUACUAACAAAGAUAGUGAAAAAAGGAGAAUAAAGCAAAUAAAACCCACAUCUUAACCCAAAGGAAUUAUCAGCAGAUUCCAAAGCAUACCAAAACCAUGCUUAUUGAUUUAUCUUUAUAAAUAAAAAAACUAAAAGAAACACCCAGCUAGAUUAAAGUAUUCAUCAAAGAAAGACAAAGUGAAGUAAUAAAUUAGUCAUGGAUCAACCUUAAGUAAAGAGGCUAAAAUAAAAUAACAAUAAUAAAGCAUAGGAUAGAUUGGAUCCCGAAGAGUAGCAACAAGAAACAGACCUUUUUAAAAAGCAACAAAAGUCUGGAAAUAAGACCAGUAACACGUUAACCAUACUAAACAGGAACCUUGCCGGAACUUUAGACGGAGCUCUCAAAUGGAAGUUCGACUAUCUCGAUCUAUCUUCCGUGACAUUACAGGGCUGAAACGGAGCUUCGUCGGUGAAAACAAAUGGAGAAAUUGAUGACUGUUCGGGUCUUUUUUUAAAGCUGGUUUAAUGGAAUUUCAAAUGGGUUUAAGGUUAUAUAUGUGAAGUGAUAUGGGUUGAAGACUCUUUCAUUUCUUUUUAUUUUUCCACCCCCAAUUUUUGUGCAAAGAAUUCCUUGCAUGUUCUCUGUGUGUGUGUGUUUGGAGUUGGUGAAAUUAGACCUUGAAGGUCUUUGAUUUGGGGGAAGUUGGGAGACCGCAGUCUUCGAGAUUAGAAGUGCUGGCGUUCUUUUUUUUAGUCUUAGGUCUUGAAAACAUGGGUAGUAUUUUUAUAAUUGAGUAUUUUAUAUGGAGGUGGGAAGGUAU